GGUUGUGGUUAAGUGGCAGAGCGCUUGCCUAGCAUGCAGGAGGCACUGAGUUGGAUCCCCGGCACAUUA
Molecule: transfer RNA, 69 nt
Filed under: Marmota monax (woodchuck)
Lineage: Eukaryota; Metazoa; Chordata; Mammalia; Rodentia; Sciuridae
Description: tRNA.Ala
Source: RNAcentral